CCUACGGGAGGCAGCAGUGAGGAAUAUUGGUCAAUGGGCGUAAGCCUGAACCAGCCAAGUCGCGUGAAGGAUGAAGGUGCUAUGGAUUGUAAACUUCUUUUAUAAGGGAAUAAAGUGAGGCACGUGUCCUAUUCCGCAUGUACCUUAUGAAAAAGGAUCGGCUAACUCCGUGCCAGCAGCCGCGGUAAUACGGAGGAUCCGAGCGUUAUCCGGAUUUAUUGGGUUUAAAGGGUGCGUAGGCGGGCUGUUAAGUCAGUGGUGAAAGUCUGGGGCUCAACCGUAGAAGUGCCGUUGAAACUGGGAUGAUUGAGUAGAUGAGAGGUAGGCAGAAUGCGUGGUUUAGCGGGGAAAUGCUUAGAGAUC
Molecule: ribosomal RNA, 363 nt
Filed under: uncultured bacterium
Lineage: Bacteria
Description: partial 16S ribosomal RNA
Rfam family: Bacterial small subunit ribosomal RNA
Source: RNAcentral